ACCCGGCUGGCGCAAUGGUAGCGCGUCAGACUUCUAGGUUCCCUGGAAACGAUCGAUAUCUGAAGGUUGUGGGUUCGACCCCCACGUUGGGUU
Choiromyces venosus 120613-1 is the source of this 93-nucleotide non-coding RNA. The record is from the annotation of a GenBank genome assembly. NCBI's taxonomy places the organism in Eukaryota, Fungi, Ascomycota, Pezizomycetes, Pezizales, Tuberaceae.